AGAGUUUGAUCAUGGCUCAGAAUCAACGCUGGCGGCGUGCCUCAGACAUGCAAGUCGGACGCGAAAUCCCCCCUCGGGGGGAGAGUAGAGUGGCGCACGGGUGAGUAACACGUGGGUAAUCUGCCUUCGGGUGGGGAAUAACGACCGGAAACGGUCGCUAAUACCGCAUAACGCAGCGGCAGCCUCGGCUGACAGUUGUUAAAGCGGGGGACGGGCCUUCGGGCCCACCCCGCGCCUGGAGAGGAGCCCGCGGCGGAUUAGCUAGUUGGUAGGGUAACGGCCUACCAAGGCUCCGAUCCGUAGCCGGCCUGAGAGGGCGGUCGGCCACACUGACACUGACACACGGGUCAGACUCCUACGGGAGGCAGCAGUCGGGAAUUUUGGGCAAUGGGCGCAAGCCUGACCCAGCAACGCCGCGUGAAGGACGAAGCAUCUCGGUGUGUAAACUUCAUAAGAGUGGGAAGAAUAAGCGGGGGGUAAUAUCCCCCGUGAUGACGGUACCACUUGUAAGCCCCGGCUAACUCCGUGCCAGCAGCCGCGGUAAUACGGGGGGGGCAAGCGUUGUUCGGAUUUACUGGGCGUAAAGGGCGCGUAGGCGGCGCGACGAGUCACUUGUGAAAUCUCCGGGCUUAACCCGGAGCGGCCAAGUGAUACUGUCGUGCUGGAGUGCGGAAGGGGCCACCGGAAUUCUCGGUGUAGCGGUGAAAUGCGUAGAUAUCGAGAGGAACACCUGCGGCGAAGGCGGGUGGCUGGGCCGACACUGACGCUGAGGCGCGAAAGCCAGGGGAGCGAACGGGAUUAGAUACCCCGGUAGUCC
This 817-nucleotide ribosomal RNA is filed under the name uncultured Acidobacteriota bacterium. RNAcentral describes it as "bacterial SSU rRNA". It matches the Rfam family "Bacterial small subunit ribosomal RNA", at positions 8 to 796 of the family's 1533-position model. Lineage: Bacteria; Pseudomonadati; Acidobacteriota. The record is from RNAcentral.